AAUCAACGCUGGCGGCGUGCCUAACACAUGCAAGUCGAACGCGAAAGUCCCUUCGGGGAUGAGUAGAGUGGCGUCCGGGUGAGUAACGCGUGGGUAAUCUACCCUUGGGUGGGAAUAACCAGUCGAAAGAUUGGCUAAUACCGCAUAAUGCAGCGGCUCGACAUCGAGACAGUUGUUAAAGCGCAAUCGCAAGAUUGCGCGCCUAAGGAGGAGCCUGCGCUGAUUAGCUUGUUGGUGAGGUAAUGGCUCACCAAGGCUGCGAUCAGUAGCUGGUCUGAGAGGACGGCCAGCCACAAUGGCACU
This 303-nucleotide ribosomal RNA is filed under the name uncultured bacterium. RNAcentral's name for it is "bacterial SSU rRNA". It matches the Rfam family "Bacterial small subunit ribosomal RNA", at positions 32 to 320 of the family's 1533-position model. The record is from RNAcentral.